AGCUUCUUUUUAAUAUUACAAGUGUCCUCUAGGCAUUGUUCAUAUUCCACUCGGCAAUUGUCAAAACUGUCCACAACACUUUGUAAUUCUAAAUAUUGCU
Long non-coding RNA from Aricia agestis (brown argus), 100 nucleotides. RefSeq lists it as uncharacterized. The record is from RefSeq and is a predicted model, not a curated record. The transcript is spliced from 3 exons. Lineage: Eukaryota; Metazoa; Arthropoda; Insecta; Lepidoptera; Lycaenidae.